RNAcentral lists this transfer RNA (76 nucleotides) under Bacteroidetes bacterium CG2_30_32_10. RNAcentral describes it as "tRNA-Phe". It matches the Rfam family "tRNA". From Rfam's summary of the family: Transfer RNA (tRNA) molecules are approximately 80 nucleotides in length. Their secondary structure includes four short double-helical elements and three loops (D, anti-codon, and T loops). Lineage: Bacteria; Pseudomonadati; Bacteroidota. The record is from RNAcentral. RNAcentral also lists the same sequence under 1 other name.
GGCGUCGUAGCUCAGUUGGUAGAGCAGAGGACUGAAAAUCCUUGUGUCACUGGUUCAAUUCCAGUCGAUGCCACAA